UACGUAGGGUGCGAGCGUUGUCCGGAAUUAUUGGGCGUAAAGAGCUUGUAGGCGGUUUGUCGCGUCUGCCGUGAAAAUCCGGGGCUCAACCCCGGACUUGCGGUGGGUACGGGCAGACUAGAGUGUGGUAGGGGAGACUGGAAUUCCUGGUGUAGCGGUGAAAUGCGCAGAUAUCGAGAGGAACACCGGUGGCGAAGGCGGCCAACUGGACGGAUACUGACGCUGAGACACGAAAGCGUGGGGAGCAAACAGG
RNAcentral lists this ribosomal RNA (253 nucleotides) under uncultured bacterium. RNAcentral describes it as "partial 16S ribosomal RNA". It matches the Rfam family "Bacterial small subunit ribosomal RNA", at positions 524 to 776 of the family's 1533-position model. The record is from RNAcentral.